CUACCCAUUAGCCUCCACUCCAGGAGCAGCUCACCAAAGGGGCUGAGUUAGAAAUAUAAGAAAAUGGACAAUCUUCAAAAUGCCCAAGAUUAAACGAACAGAAAGACUGGGAUACAGAGCUAAGCAAAAUCAUGUAAGGACUGAAAUUUUCUCCAGCCUCCCUGAGACUCAGAAAAAUCCUGGAAUCUCUAACAAGGUGACAAGAGGAAGGACCACAACUCUGAAAACACCCAUUCUGGCCCCACAGAGCUUACGUGUAGACCUGCUCUGCAUGCGACAAAUCCCAGAGCAAAAGCUGCAGAAGUUCUGUGAUAUGGCUACUCAGCUACCUAGGGCCAACCUGCAGAGACUUGGAAAUGCAGAACGAUGAGUACAUUUCUUGGCUUUUACCUAAAUAUUUAGUGUCCACUGAACACCACUGAGAAUCCAAACUACACUCAGAGCCCUUCCUCUCAUCCCACUGGCCAUUAGCAAAUGUCCAAAGAAG
This 487-nucleotide long non-coding RNA is filed under the name Chinchilla lanigera (long-tailed chinchilla). RNAcentral describes it as "lncRNA (ENSCLAG00000025009.1)". The record is from RNAcentral. Lineage: Eukaryota; Metazoa; Chordata; Mammalia; Rodentia; Chinchillidae.